CAACAACAAAACAAAAUACCUUGAUGCUUUUUGGAUGAUUCAAUUGUGAUAAAAACUAGUUUAUCACAAUUGAAUUAUCUAAAUAUCUUCAAUGUGUUUUUAUUACAACUA
RNAcentral lists this microRNA precursor (111 nucleotides) under Physcomitrium patens. RNAcentral describes it as "Physcomitrella patens miR1078 stem-loop (ppt-MIR1078)". The record is from miRBase by way of RNAcentral. Lineage: Eukaryota; Viridiplantae; Streptophyta; Bryopsida; Funariales; Funariaceae.